GACGAACGCUGGCGGCGUGCCUAAUACAUGCAAGUCGAACGCAGUGGGGACGGGUGAGGAACACGUGGGUAACCUCCGAUAAGAGGGGAGAACACUUGGAAACAGGUGCUAAACCGAUACUGAUGGAUGGACCCGCGUUUGAUUAGCUAGUGGGUGAGGUAACGGCUCACCAAGGCCACGAUGCAUAGCCGGCCUGAGAGGGGGACCGGCCACACGGGGACUGAGACACGGCCCAGACUCCUACGGGAGGCAGCAGUGGGGAAGCUUCGGCAAUGGACGAAAGUCUGACGCAGCAACGCCGCGUGAGUGAAGAAGGUGUUCGGAUCGUAAAUCUCUGUUGUUAGGGAGGCGGUAUCUAACCAGAAAGCCACGGCUAACUACGUGCCAGCCGCCGCGGUAAUUC
RNAcentral lists this ribosomal RNA (403 nucleotides) under uncultured bacterium. RNAcentral describes it as "partial 16S ribosomal RNA". It matches the Rfam family "Bacterial small subunit ribosomal RNA", at positions 28 to 526 of the family's 1533-position model. The record is from RNAcentral.